CCAAAUAUUUUAAUUAGAAACUUUUUUAAUGUAAUGAUCUGGUAAGACUAUCAGAAUGAAUUGUAUCUUCCAGAUAAAAUUGUGGUGCUCUUUUAAAAGAAAACACAUCUGUGUCUAUAUGUAUAUUAGCUAAAGAACGGGUUGUUUAGGAUUGCUUCUUUAUUUAUAAGUAUCAGAUUAUGAAAAAUAUUGUACUCUUGUUUAAUCUUUUUAUACUUGUGAUCUAUUUAACUGUAUAUAAACACACUUGUAGCUUGGCUUUUAUUAUUGGACUUUGGUUUAUUCGAGGACAAAAGGAGGAAUUUUUUGAGAUAAAGUCUCCCUGUGCACCCUAUUCUAACCUCAAACUCAUUCCUCCUGCCUUAUUUUCUUGAGUGGUAGGAAUACCGCCAUUCCUGACUUAUAUGUGUAUUUUAAAAAUAUGUGUGAGAUUUUUGUUUUCCGCUAAACAUUAUCUCAAUUACUUCAGUUUUUUCCAGAAAUAUGUUUUGAAUGCUUACAUUUACUAUCUAUUCUGCUAUACCAAAAUAGAUGUAAAAUAGUUAUUUAGCAACAAAAAUGUGUCUUUCAUUGUUUCUUAAAUGUGUAGACUGUGAUGAAUAAAGCAAAAUUUCCUCUCUUAA
RNAcentral lists this long non-coding RNA (623 nucleotides) under Rattus norvegicus (Norway rat). RNAcentral's name for it is "long non-coding RNA NONRATT015902". The record is from RNAcentral. Lineage: Eukaryota; Metazoa; Chordata; Mammalia; Rodentia; Muridae.